RNAcentral lists this long non-coding RNA (722 nucleotides) under Rattus norvegicus (Norway rat). RNAcentral describes it as "long non-coding RNA NONRATT008573". Lineage: Eukaryota; Metazoa; Chordata; Mammalia; Rodentia; Muridae. The record is from RNAcentral.
GUCUGUUCUGCACCUAGACCAGCGUGGUCAAUUAUAUUGACCAGAGGCCGGCAGCCGAGAAGAGUACUCAGUUGUUCUUUGUGGUCUUUGAAUGGAAGGAUCCCUUCAUCCAGAAAGUCCAGGAUAUAAUCACGGCCAAUCCUUGGAACACCAUCGCCCUACUCUGCGGGGCGUUCCUGGCAUUAUUUAAAGCAGCAGAGUUUGCCAAACUAAGUGUGAAAUGGAUGAUCAAAAUCAGGAAACGAUACCUUAAACGGAGAGGCCAGGCGACAAACCACAUAAGCUGAAGUGCCUGUGCCCCAGCACUCCGACAAACCGAGCCACCAGCACUCCUGUACUCACUUGAAGGGACCUCGCAGGGAAGGACGGCCUGUCGCAUUGGAUGCUCAACCCUGGCCCAGGAGGACACUGUCCUGGGCCCAAAGGGAAACACCCAGUGGAUAACCCGAAACUUAUUUAAGUACUUAAAUUAUUAACGGACAUUUGCAGAGCUGCCUAGUGCCUUGGAGAGGUUUGCGGAAGGCGGCUUCCUCCUAUUUGGUCAUUAAAUAGUUAAGCUCCAAGUUAAGGUUUCUUCUUUACCUUAGGAUAUUUUUUUCCUUUUAAGUGGACUGAUGUGCUCUGUAUACAAAACUCCUUUUAUACCAUCUACUGUUACUUAACAAGAACUAGAUCAGAAUUUUUGUUUUUUAAUAAAAUGUAGCCCUAGCGGAAUCACUGUA